This 339-nucleotide unclassified non-coding RNA is filed under the name soil metagenome. RNAcentral's name for it is "partial contains 5.8S ribosomal RNA, internal transcribed spacer 2, and large subunit ribosomal RNA". The stretch from base 1 to 120 matches the Rfam family "5.8S ribosomal RNA", at positions 35 to 154 of the family's 154-position model. The record is from RNAcentral.
GAUGAAGAACGCAGCGAAAUGCGAUACGUAAUGUGAAUUGCAGAAUUCAGUGAAUCAUCGAGUCUUUGAACGCACAUUGCGCCCCCUGGUAUUCCGGGGGGCAUGCCUGUCCGAGCGUCAUUGCUGCCCUCAAGCACGGCUUGGUAUUGGGUGCUUGUCCCGCCUCUCGCGCGGCGACUCACCUCAAAGUCAUUGGCAGCCCGCAUCUCGCCGGCCGUGAGCGCAGCACAGACGCGCUCUUGGCAACGACGGAUCGGCUCUCCAAAAGCUUAUUUCAACCACUGACCUCGGAUCAGGUAGGGAUACCCGCUGAACUUAAGCAUAUCAAUAAGCGGAGGA